Molecule: transfer RNA, 70 nt
Filed under: Anolis maynardi
Lineage: Eukaryota; Metazoa; Chordata; Lepidosauria; Squamata; Anolidae
Description: tRNA-Trp
Source: RNAcentral
UAAAAACUUAGGAUCAACUAAACCAAGAGCCUUCAAAGCUCAAAAUAGGGAUGAAAACCCCCUAGUUUUU